CAUUACAACAGCCAUAGUUUAUUGGAUCUUAGAGUCCUACUUGGAUACCUGUGGUAAUUCUAGAGCUAAUACACGCAAUCAAGCCUCAACCUUACGGGCGGGGCGCAUUUAUUAGAACAAAACCAAUUGGCUUCGGCCAUAGAUUGGUGAAUCUGAAUAACUACGCUGAUCGCACGGGCUUGUCCCGGCGACGUAUCCUUCAAGUGUCUGCCUUAUCAACUUUCGAUGGUAGUUUAUAUGACUACCAUGGUUGUAACGGGUAACGGAGAAUAAGGGUUCGACUCCGGAGAGGGAGCCUGAGAAACGGCUACCACAUCCAAGGAAGGCAGCAGGCGCGCAAAUUACCCACUCUCAGAACGAGGAGGUAGUGACGAAAAAUAACGAGACAGUUCUCUAUGAGGUCUGUCAUCGGAAUGGGUACAAUCUAAACCCUUUAACGAGGAUCUAUUGGAGGGCAAGUCUGGUGCCAGCAGCCGCGGUAAUUCCAGCUCCAAUAGCGUAUAUUAAAGUUGUUGCGGUUAAAAAGCUCGUAGUUGGAUCUGCGGUCACAGACGCUGGUUUCCUUCACGGAAUACUGGUUGUCUUGACCUACCUUGCUGGUUUUCCCUUGGUGCUCUUUACUGAGUGCCUUGGGUGGCUAGCACGUUUACUUUGAAAAAAUUAGAGUGCUUAACGCAGGCUUUUGCCUGAAUAGUGGUGCAUGGAAUAAUGGAAUAGGACCUCGGUUCUAUUUUGUUGGUUUUCGGAGCACGAGGUAAUGAUUAAGAGGGACAGACGGGGGCAU
This 784-nucleotide ribosomal RNA is filed under the name Chromadorita aff. leuckarti 2 JS-2018. RNAcentral describes it as "SSU rRNA". It matches the Rfam family "Eukaryotic small subunit ribosomal RNA", at positions 99 to 891 of the family's 1831-position model. The record is from RNAcentral. Lineage: Eukaryota; Metazoa; Nematoda; Chromadorea; Chromadorida; Chromadoridae.